Molecule: ribosomal RNA, 451 nt
Filed under: uncultured bacterium
Lineage: Bacteria
Description: partial 16S ribosomal RNA
Rfam family: Bacterial small subunit ribosomal RNA
Source: RNAcentral
AGCGAACGCUGGCGGCAGGCUUAACACAUGCAAGUCGAGCGGGCGUAGCAAUACGUCAGCGGCAGACGGGGGAGUAACACGUGGGAACGUACCGUUUGGUUCGGAACAACUGAGGGAAACUUCAGCUAAUACCGGAUAAGCCCUAACGGGGAAAGAUUUAUCGCCGAAAGAUCGGCCCGCGUCUGAUUAGAUAGUUGGUGCGGUAAUGGCUCACCAAGGCGACGAGGAGUAGCUGGUCUGAGAGGAUGAUCAGCAACACUGGGACUGAGACACGGCGCAGACUCCUACGGGAGGCAGCAGUGGGGAAUAUUGGACAAUGGGGGCAACCCUGAUCCAGCCAUGCCGCGUGAGUGAUGAAGGCCCUAGGGUUGUAAAGCUCUUUUGUACGGGAAGAUAAUGACGGUACCGCAAGAAUAAGCCCCGGCUAACUUCGUGCCAGCAGCCGCCGUAA